AUGUAUCUUGCUUCCCCUGGCAUCGGGCAUGGGCUAGCGCAAGUUUCCCAGACGGUGGCGCAGCAUUUCCUCGACCCCGACCAUAGCAUCGUUGCUAUCGCCUCGGGUGACUCGGGUCUAAUGACGAGGGAGGAACUUCCAGCACCUGGAUACAUGCUCAUCACGCCCGGGGGGGACGCCGCUCCAAUGGGCGACGGCGUGCCCCUGUCGCCUACGGUGGCUGCGGCAACGCCGAACACCUGGGGUCAUUUUGCAAAGCUUGGGGCCGAGCAUGCGUUCUUCGUGCAGGACCCGGCCGCCGACUUCGACAUCAUGCCGAAAGGGGUUUGCAUGAACGACGACUCGCCGGUUCAUUACCACGUGAACGUGUUCGCUGAGGGUGUUUGGCAGAACAUGGUUUCAGGACCCAUGCACGCGGGCGAUAACGUGUGCUUCCUCCGGCGCCCGUAUGCGGUGGUCAUCGACGGCGUCAUGUACAUGAUGUACGAAGUCGGCAGGGUGGUGGCUUGCAACGUCAGCGCCAACACAUUCGACACAGUUCAGCUGCCGGAAGAUUUCGCCUUCAACAUCGAAGCGGGAGGUACGGACUACAGAGUCACUAAAACCUCCUCCGGGAAGCUUUGCAUUGCUCAAGUCCAGGGCAUGCGAGCGCGGGUGUGGGACCGUGACCCGACGGGGGUGUGGGUGGAGAGGAUCAACAUGUCAAUUUCCAGCGUUUUUGAUGUCCCCGCUACGGAUACUAUGUGGAUCAGAGUUGCUGAAAACGAAGGGCUGGACAUUCCAAUAUGGGACACUGAGUUUUACUUGAUUAGGAUUGUGUCAGUCGACGAGGGUGCUCGCCAUCUCGUCAUGAGUUUUGGUUUUGACACCCGCGUGUACUGCAUUGAUACGGAGCUGGAGAGAGCGUUUGAUCUCUUCGACUCAGCACAACACGCUUUCAUGAGCAAUGUGGUCCCGGUGACGGUCACGUGUCCGCCACGCUUCCCCGACCACAUUUAG
RNAcentral lists this ribosomal RNA (999 nucleotides) under Triticum aestivum (bread wheat). RNAcentral describes it as "partial small subunit ribosomal RNA". The record is from RNAcentral. Lineage: Eukaryota; Viridiplantae; Streptophyta; Magnoliopsida; Poales; Poaceae.